RNAcentral lists this transfer RNA (72 nucleotides) under Hemigaleus microstoma (sicklefin weasel shark). RNAcentral describes it as "tRNA-Val". It matches the Rfam family "tRNA". From Rfam's summary of the family: Transfer RNA (tRNA) molecules are approximately 80 nucleotides in length. Their secondary structure includes four short double-helical elements and three loops (D, anti-codon, and T loops). The record is from RNAcentral. Lineage: Eukaryota; Metazoa; Chordata; Chondrichthyes; Carcharhiniformes; Hemigaleidae.
CAAAAUGUGACUAAAUUAGUAAAGUACCUCCCUUACACUGAGGAAAUACCUGUGCAACCCGGGUCAUUUUGA